CGCGUAGGUAAUCUACCCUUAUAUUUGGGAUAACAUUGGGAAACUGGUGCUAAUACCGAAUGGUCUUCAUUUCUGUUAGGGAGAUGGAGUAAAGGUGGCCUCUUCAUGAAAGCUACCGUGUAGGGAUGAGCCUGCGUACCAUCAGCUAGUAGGUGGGGUAAUGGCCCACCUAGGCUACGAUGGUUAGCGGGUCUGAGAGGAUGAUCCGCCACACUGGAACUGGAACACGGACCAG
Molecule: ribosomal RNA, 235 nt
Filed under: uncultured bacterium
Lineage: Bacteria
Description: partial 16S ribosomal RNA
Rfam family: Bacterial small subunit ribosomal RNA
Source: RNAcentral